UUGUGUAUAAAAGGUAGAGACGUUUAGCGGACAUUAAGUGCUUAGAAGCUAAGAACAUAUUUACGGUCUCAGUAUGCAGGCGUCCAAGACUUUUCGACUGUUUCUGUUUAUCGCUCUUGUGGUCAUACCUCUCUUAGUGUGUGGCAAGCAGCACACUGCGCGAAGGCAAGCGCGUGCGAAACGAUCUUCGAGUAGUUGUUUUGGGUUUUGCGGCGGAUCGCAUGGGCCGUGUCCCGCUGGUUGUGUGUGUAGAGGGAGUACAGCCGGAGAAGGAACUUGCCAGCCAUCUACGAAAGGUUAAACAUCCUCUGGCGUUCUCAAUUAAUAAAGCUAUGAGGAAUCUCAG
Molecule: long non-coding RNA, 346 nt
Organism: Dermacentor andersoni
Lineage: Eukaryota; Metazoa; Arthropoda; Arachnida; Ixodida; Ixodidae
Source: RefSeq, a predicted model, not a curated record